GCCGCCGUAGCUCAGCGUGGUAGAGCAGCGGACCCUGAACCCGUUGGUCGACGGUUCGAGUCCGUCCGGCGGCGCCA
This 77-nucleotide transfer RNA is filed under the name Candidatus Bathyarchaeota archaeon. Its description in RNAcentral is "tRNA-Gln". It matches the Rfam family "tRNA". From Rfam's summary of the family: Transfer RNA (tRNA) molecules are approximately 80 nucleotides in length. The record is from RNAcentral. Lineage: Archaea; Thermoproteati; Candidatus Bathyarchaeota.